This 461-nucleotide ribosomal RNA is filed under the name uncultured bacterium. RNAcentral describes it as "bacterial SSU rRNA". It matches the Rfam family "Bacterial small subunit ribosomal RNA", at positions 30 to 507 of the family's 1533-position model. The record is from RNAcentral.
AUUGAACGCUGGCGGAAUGCUUUACACAUGCAAGUCGAACGGCAGCAUAGGUGCUUGCACCUGAUGGCGAGUGGCGAACGGGUGAGUAAUACAUCGGAACGUGCCCAGUCGUGGGGGAUAACGUAGCGAAAGUUACGCUAAUACCGCAUACGAUCUACGGAUGAAAGCGGGGGACCGUAAGGCCUCGCGCGAUUGGAGCGGCCGAUGUUAGAUUAGGUAGUUGGUGGGGUAAAGGCUCACCAAGCCGACGAUCUAUAGCUGGUCUGAGAGGAUGAUCAGCCACACUGGGACUGAGACACGGCCCAGACUCCUACGGGAGGCAGCAGUGGGGAAUAUUGGACAAUGGGGGCAACCCUGAUCCAGCCAUGCCGCGUGAGUGAAGAAGGCCUUCGGGUUGUAAAGCUCUUUCGACGGGGACGAUGAUGACGGUACCCGUAUAAGAAGCCCCGGCAAACUUUGUA